Molecule: ribosomal RNA, 279 nt
Filed under: uncultured bacterium
Lineage: Bacteria
Description: partial 16S ribosomal RNA
Rfam family: Bacterial small subunit ribosomal RNA
Source: RNAcentral
UGCCAGCAGCCGCGGUAACACGUAGGACCCGAGCGUUAUCCGGAUUUACUGGGCGUAAAGCGCGUGUAGGCGGUUCGUUAAGUCUGAUGUGAAAGCCCGGGGCUCAACCCCGGAAGUGCAUUGGAAACUGGCGAACUUGAGUACGGGAGAGGAAAGUGGAAUUCCGAGUGGAGAGGUGAAAUUCGUAGAUAUCUGGAGGAACAUCAGUGGCGAAGGCGGCUCCCUGGACAAAGACUGACGCUCAUGUGCGAAAGUGUGGGUAGCGAACAGGAUUAGAUA